RNAcentral lists this ribosomal RNA (590 nucleotides) under uncultured bacterium. RNAcentral describes it as "bacterial SSU rRNA". It matches the Rfam family "Bacterial small subunit ribosomal RNA", at positions 338 to 941 of the family's 1533-position model. The record is from RNAcentral.
CCUACGGGAGGCAGCAGUGGGGAAUAUUGCACAAUGGGCGAAAGCCUGAUGCAGCGACGCCGCGUGAGGGACGACGGCCUUCGGGUUGUAAACCUCUUUCAGCAGGGACGAAGCGCAAGUGACGGUACCUGCAGAAGAAGCACCGGCUAACUACGUGCCAGCAGCCGCGGUAAUACGUAGGGUGCAAGCGUUGUCCGGAAUUACUGGGCGUAAAGAGUUCGUAGGCGGUUUGUCACGUCGUUUGUGAAAACUCACAGCUCAACUGUGAGCCUGCAGGCGAUACGGGCAGACUUGAGUACUGCAGGGGAGACUGGAAUUCCUGGUGUAGCGGUGAAACGCGCAGAUAUCAGGAGGAACACCGGUGGCGAAGGCGGGUCUCUGGGCAGUAACUGACGCUGAGGAACGAAAGCGUGGGUAGCGAACAGGAUUAGAUACCCUGGUAGUCCACGCCGUAAACGGUGGGCGCUAGGUGUGGGUUCCUUCCACGGAAUCCGUGCCGUAGCUAACGCAUUAAGCGCCCCGCCUGGGGAGUACGGCCGCAAGGCAAACUUAAAGNUAGUGCGNGNGAGNGCGCGACGCGACGAGAGGAG